GGGAGGGACCGCGGCCAGCGGGAUUGCUUGUUAUUUCCUCCCUUAAACGUCUUUCUGGGCCAUGAAAUACCCCCACUUGCCAACGCCGCAUAGGCCCUGAGGUCAGUCCUUCCGAGGGCCUGAGCGACUUCAUAGGCCUCCACUCCGCUAGGAGGACGGAGAAGAUGUGGUGUUAUUCAGGGUGCUCGGACCUGGGAGCGUCCAGACCCUUGAAGAGACCCAUCCCAUCCUGAGACCAAGGCUAAGACACAGACCCUAGGGCGCCCCGGCCUUCUGCACAUCAGGGAUGCUGCACGCUCGAAUGUAAAAUGUCACACGGUUGCUCUUGCCACUUCCUGGAAAUGCUUCUUACUUUUACAGCAUUGGACUUUUUAAUACUUUUAAUUAACUGGGAUUCUUUUCUCACGUUUCAUGAGACGCAUGAAUGUACUGUGCGGUCUGACCGUGAGGGCCUUACAGAAGCACCCUGUGGGUACCUGCCUCCCUCCCGCUUCUCCACUGGGUUUACCCUCAUGCAUCUUCCAUCCAAGCAAACUGCUCUCCAGCCUGCAUACCCCACUGGCUCCGAGAACAAAGCUAAACUUCUAUUAUUUCUGAAACUCUUCAGAUGUUUGUGAAUGGAAACACAGCCGGGCCCCAGACACCAGCUGACCCAGUUCCCAAACAAAGGCUCUACUGUCAGCAGGUCACAGAACAGCAAGCCCAUGCCCGAUCCUCGGGUCCAGACCUCAGCGAAUGGCACCAAGAGCAUAAACCCACCCCUGCCGGCCCCUCACACAGCUGCACCCCGUCAGGCCUAGCAGGGACCGGCUGAAGCCCCACCCUGACAUUCAAGGUUCGGCACUGAGCGCUCUCAGGCUGUGUCUCCCGGGUCACCCUUCCCACAGUCAACAGGGCCAUCAGUCUGCAAGCUGGCUGGCCCUGCCCACCCCGCCACCAGCACACACAAGGCCCAGGAGCUCCAUACACAAGGAAGGACCCAUCGCCCACCUCGAGAGCCUACUUUUGCCACCACAAAACUUUGAACUCUGCUCCUACUAUUCCCCCCGCCUGGAAACCAUCCCUACUACGUAAAGGAAAUAUCACCAGAAGACACUGCCACAGGACGGUGGGCAGUCAGCUUGGGUCGUUAUUACUGUUCCGACUUCUAAACCACAACACUCACCUCGAGUCCCACCUCUUCCAUGAAGCCAUCGCUCGGCCCGCCUCGCGCCUUGUGCCACUGACCUCCCUAGCCUGUGCUGGGCAAGGAGAGAGGGCCGUGCCAGGCACCUCAGGGCUGCAGCAGAACCCAGAGAGCCUUUUCUUCCCUGCUCCCUGGGGCACAGGCUGUCCGGGGAAACACAUGCACAUCUGAUUCUAGCCCAUCUUCCUUCCCUGCCAGUUGGGAAGCUCUCAGAUUUACCCAUGGCUGAGUUCCUGAGACGGCAGCCAGCCCUCUCCCCCAGAUCUACCACCAGGCCAGGCCCACUAGUGGCAGGUCUUCACUAAACACCAGCUCUCCAGAGCCCACAUUCUGUAGUCUACAUCCGCCACGAUGCUACCCAUACACACGCACAGGCCAGAGUCCGCCUC
This is a non-coding RNA of Kogia breviceps (pygmy sperm whale), 1575 nucleotides long. NCBI's taxonomy places the organism in Eukaryota, Metazoa, Chordata, Mammalia, Artiodactyla, Physeteridae. The record is from RefSeq and is a predicted model, not a curated record.